UACGGAGGGUGCAAGCGUUGUCCGGAAUCACUGGGCGUAAAGGGCGCGCAGGCGGCUCAUUUUGUCAGGCGUGAAAGCCCCGGGCUUAACCUGGGAACUGCGUUUGAUACGGAUGGGCUAGAGUUCGGGAGAGGAGAGUGAAAUUCCCAGUGUAGAGGUGAAAUUCGUAGAUAUUGGGAAGAACACCGGUGGCGAAGGCGACUUACUGGACACAUAUUGACGCUGAGGUGCGAAAGCGUGGGGAGCAAACAGG
Molecule: ribosomal RNA, 253 nt
Filed under: uncultured bacterium
Lineage: Bacteria
Description: partial 16S ribosomal RNA
Rfam family: Bacterial small subunit ribosomal RNA
Source: RNAcentral